Nycticebus coucang (slow loris) is the source of this 206-nucleotide small nucleolar RNA. RefSeq annotates it as small nucleolar RNA U3. Lineage: Eukaryota; Metazoa; Chordata; Mammalia; Primates; Lorisidae. The transcript has a single exon. The record is from RefSeq and is a predicted model, not a curated record.
UAGUUUGUUACUAGGGAAGUCUCUCUGAAUGUGUAGCACAACGGAAACCACGAGGAAGAGGCGCAGUGUUCUCUCCUGAGCAUGAAGCCGGUGUUGCUUUGGUGUUGCUCCUUAGUGUUGCUUUGCUGUAACUGCCGCUUGCCAUUGAAGAUCGUUCUUCUUCUCUUCCCGGAGAAGUGAGAGGGAGAAAACACGGUCUGAGUGGU